RNAcentral lists this long non-coding RNA (270 nucleotides) under Nicotiana benthamiana. RNAcentral's name for it is "long non-coding RNA (NBEN_LNC025637)". The record is from RNAcentral. Lineage: Eukaryota; Viridiplantae; Streptophyta; Magnoliopsida; Solanales; Solanaceae.
AGGCAUUUUGUUAUUCUUCAAAAUGAUAGGCAUUUUGUUAUUCUUCAAAAUGAUUUGUAUUCGGACAGCUCAGGCGAUGGAACCGCCGCAUUGUGUCUUUUGGCAAACGAAGAAGAGGUAAGUACAUCUAACUUUCACUCGUUUGAAGAAUAACAAAAUGCCUAUGAUGAAUUGUAUGGUGAAUUUGUUAAUGCUUCCAAAAUGAUAAAAGAUUUGAACAAAACACUUUCUUUGCAGAAAACACUUUCUUUGCAGAAAACACUUUCUUUG